UACGCACUCCCUCCAUCUCAAAAUUCUUGUCUUAUAUUAGUCUAGAUAGGAUGUAUCUAAUACUAAAAUAUGACUUAAUACAUCCUUAUUUAAAAAAAUUAAGACAAGAAUUUUGCGACCAAGGGAGUACAAC
Molecule: non-coding RNA, 133 nt
Organism: Triticum aestivum (bread wheat)
Lineage: Eukaryota; Viridiplantae; Streptophyta; Magnoliopsida; Poales; Poaceae
Source: Rfam